CCCAGCUUUAGCUCAGUCGGUAGAGCAUGAGACUCUUAAUUUCAGGGUCGUGGGUUCGAGCCCCACGUUGGGC
Molecule: transfer RNA, 73 nt
Filed under: Alosa alosa (allis shad)
Lineage: Eukaryota; Metazoa; Chordata; Actinopteri; Clupeiformes; Clupeidae
Description: tRNA-Lys
Rfam family: tRNA
About the family: Transfer RNA (tRNA) molecules are approximately 80 nucleotides in length. Their secondary structure includes four short double-helical elements and three loops (D, anti-codon, and T loops).
Source: RNAcentral